This 550-nucleotide ribosomal RNA is filed under the name uncultured metazoan. Its description in RNAcentral is "SSU rRNA". It matches the Rfam family "Eukaryotic small subunit ribosomal RNA", at positions 595 to 1146 of the family's 1831-position model. The record is from RNAcentral. Lineage: Eukaryota; Metazoa.
UAGCGUAUACUAAAGUUGUUGCGGUUAAAAAGCUCGUAGUUGGAUCUUGGAAUGUGUUCAAGCGGGUCAGCUUCUGGCUGUUCGCUGCUUGACGUGUUCUUCUAUUUGGUUUUGGUGCGGUGCGCUUAACUGCGUGUCGCUCCCGGCCGAAACGUUUACCUUGAAAAAAUUAGAGUGUUCAAAGCAGACCUGUUUGAGUCUGAAUAUUCGUGCAUGGAAUAAUGAAAUAUGAAUUCGGUUCUAUUUUGUUGGUUUUCGGAACUCGAGUUAAUGAUCAAGAGGGACAGACGGGGGCAUUCGUACUCUGCCGUUAGAGGUGAAAUUCUUGGAUCGGCGGAAGACGCGCAACUGCGAAAGCAUUUGCCAAGAAUGUUUUCUUUAAUCAAGAACGAUAGUCGGAGGUCCGAAGACGAUCAGAUACCGUCCUAGUUUCGACUGUAAACUAUGCCAGCUAACGAUCAGACAGAGUUCUCUACGACUUGUCUGGCAGUUUCCGGGAAACCAAAGCGUUUGGGUUCCGGGGGAAGUAUGGUUGCAAAGCUGAAACUUA